GUCUAUGGCCAUACCACCCUGAAUGUGCCUGAUCUUGUCUGAUCUUGGAAGCUAAGCUGGAUCUGGCCUGGUUAGCUCUUGGAUGGGAGACCACCUAAGAAUACGAGGAGCUGUAUGCA
RNAcentral lists this ribosomal RNA (119 nucleotides) under Pteropus alecto (black flying fox). Lineage: Eukaryota; Metazoa; Chordata; Mammalia; Chiroptera; Pteropodidae. The record is from RNAcentral.